Molecule: ribosomal RNA, 468 nt
Filed under: uncultured bacterium
Lineage: Bacteria
Description: partial 16S ribosomal RNA
Rfam family: Bacterial small subunit ribosomal RNA
Source: RNAcentral
GACGAACGCUGGCGGCGUGCUUAACACAUGCAAGUCGAACGGAAAGGCCCUGCUUUUGUGGGGUGCUCGAGUGGCGAACGGGUGAGUAACACGUGAGUAACCUGCCCUUGACUUUGGGAUAACUUCAGGAAACUGGGGCUAAUACCGGAUAGGAGCUCCUGCUGCAUGGUGGGGGUUGGAAAGUUUCGGCGGUCGGGGAUGGACUCGCGGCUUAUCAGCUUGUUGGUGGGGUAGUGGCUUACCAAGGCUUUGACGGGUAGCCGGCCUGAGAGGGCGACCGGCCACAUUGGGACUGAGAUACGGCCCAGACUCCUACGGGAGGCAGCAGUGGGGAAUAUUGCACAAUGGGCGGAAGCCUGAUGCAGCAACGCCGCGUGCGGGAUGACGGCCUUCGGGUUGUAAACCGCUUUCGCCUGUGACGAAGCGUGAGUGACGGUAAUGGGUAAAGAAGCACCGGCUAACUACGUG